RNAcentral lists this long non-coding RNA (250 nucleotides) under Nicotiana benthamiana. RNAcentral describes it as "long non-coding RNA (NBEN_LNC038700)". Lineage: Eukaryota; Viridiplantae; Streptophyta; Magnoliopsida; Solanales; Solanaceae. The record is from RNAcentral.
CUACACCAACAUCGUCUUUCUUUGUUUGACAGAGUCCUCUAACUAGAAGACCAGCAAUGGAGCUAUUCCACAAAGCAAAAGCUGUUCGCCUACAGAGUCACCAUUACAAGUACUUAACAGCAUUAGAAGAUGAAGAAUCCAUAACCCAAGAUCGGGAUGGCGCUUCAAGAAAUGCAAGAUGGACCAUAGAAUUCGUCGAAAACACCAAUAAUAUUAUACGCUUAAAAAGUUGUUAUGGCAAGUAUCUUAC